CAUCGAUAAAUAUGACGAAGACCUCGUUAAGACAAUUAUUGGGCUCUUUCGGCACAAGAUGAUUGAUAAGAUAUUUCAAUGGGCAGAGAACCAUCGUUCUUUUUGCGACGGUCAAGAAGACCACUUUGACCAUUUUUGGGCAAUUCUGCCUAGCUUGAUCAAAUCGAAAUUUUAUACAAAACUUGACACCAGCGACCUGCCAUAGUCAUGUACUGCAAUUCCUCUGCCAAACUGUCCAACUCACGCUUUCAAGAGUUCAUUCGGAGUUUAGGUUCGAACACACCGAACCUAAAGGAAUUAAAAAUCGAUGCUCGAUUAUGGACCUUGGGAGAUGAUUAAUACGCUUAAAAAGCGUGAGUUGGCUUCGAUUAUUCAGCUGAAGAAUUUGGCCAUCCUUGAGAUAUACAUAACGUUUGCGUUCCUAUGUCAGGAGUUUUUGACAUCUCUCGACAAUGCGAAAAAUUAAAGAGCAUCUCAGUGAGUGAUAUCAUAAUCGACGAGUACCCUCCAAGUUUCACCUUCAGGAAUGACUUUGAACACGUCUACAUUUGUACACACGAUUCGAGCCCUGCUGGAAGGCUGUUGCUGGAAGAUGAAGAGGAUCAUACUGGACUCUAGUGUGAUUAUUCAGCCACGUAAUUCAGUCAAGGAUUUAAAAGUCGCUCAACCGUUUGCUGGAGAAAUAACGAGAAUAGACUUUGAUUUCACCUUCCUGAAGGAUAAUGAAGAAAUGGUAGAGAUUCCGCACUUUCCACAAAUCAAAUACGCAAGGAUUGAUUGCGGCCAAAAAUCGAGGCACGCUUUAAUAAUAAGGUGUUUCCUGAAAAGUCACGGAGAACGUCUUCAGGAGUUGCGUCUUUGCGGUGUUGACAUCAAGGACAACAUUUCCUUUGCCGAAAUCUUCAGCUUCUGCCCUAAUCUUGAGUCAUUGAAAUUAUAUCAAUGCAACAUUUCUGGGAACGAUGCUCCAGUUGAUGCAAUGCAACAACUGAAACGAUUUAAAUGGGAUUGGAUCUGCCGAUAUUCCGAUGGUGAAGUUGCUUUUUCGAGCGUUUUGUCUGCGCCGCUCCUCGAAGGUCUGUACAUUGAGUUACCUGAAGCUGACUUCAGCGACAACGCCACCAUCAUAGCUCGGAUCCAGAGACGCGAAAUCUUGCAGAAUCUCAAACAAUUUCAUAUGCUAAUUUUCAGUGAUGAACGUGAAAACUCCAAACAGUUAGAUGACGCUAUUGAUUCAGUAGUUUCUGCAAAUUGUUAAUUAAAAUAUGCUAUAUAAUAUUAGUAUAUAGAACAAUAAAAUUUUAAUCGUACCACACGAUUUUUUUACAUAUA
This is a long non-coding RNA of Cloeon dipterum, 1332 nucleotides long. RefSeq lists it as uncharacterized. The record is from RefSeq and is a predicted model, not a curated record. Lineage: Eukaryota; Metazoa; Arthropoda; Insecta; Ephemeroptera; Baetidae. The transcript has 5 exons.